GGGGUUGUAGCUCAGUGGUAGAGCCCAUGCUUAGCAUGCACAAGGUCCUGGGUUCAAUUCCCAGUACCUCCA
This 72-nucleotide transfer RNA is filed under the name Camelus bactrianus (Bactrian camel). It matches the Rfam family "tRNA". Rfam says of the family: Transfer RNA (tRNA) molecules are approximately 80 nucleotides in length. Their secondary structure includes four short double-helical elements and three loops (D, anti-codon, and T loops). Further hydrogen bonds mediate the characteristic L-shaped molecular structure. tRNAs have two regions of fundamental functional importance: the anti-codon, which is responsible for specific mRNA codon recognition, and the 3' end, to which the tRNAs corresponding amino acid is attached (by aminoacyl-tRNA synthetases). tRNAs cope with the degeneracy of the genetic code in two manners: having more than one tRNA (with a specific anti-codon) for a particular amino acid; and 'wobble' base-pairing, i.e. permitting non-standard base-pairing at the 3rd anti-codon position. The record is from Rfam by way of RNAcentral. Lineage: Eukaryota; Metazoa; Chordata; Mammalia; Artiodactyla; Camelidae. RNAcentral also lists the same sequence under 2 other names.